This 1569-nucleotide long non-coding RNA is filed under the name Medicago truncatula (barrel medic). RNAcentral describes it as "long non-coding RNA (MTRU_LNC001352)". Lineage: Eukaryota; Viridiplantae; Streptophyta; Magnoliopsida; Fabales; Fabaceae. The record is from RNAcentral.
UUUGGUGCACUCUUGUUGAGAUUAAAAUACAAAUUAAAAUGUACAAAAAAAAUAAACAAAUAUUACUAAGCAAAAGGAUUUGUUCAAUGUAAAUAUUCUUAUUUGAAUAUUUUUUAUAAGCUUUAUUUUAACGGUUAUUUUCAUUCAAACUCAUUCAUGAAUUUUCAUUAUCAUUUAAUCCUUCAUUUAAUUUAAUUAAACAUUUUAUUUGAUGUUAUAAAAUUUAUGUUUCAAGCAAGAGAAGUCAAACAUGUUGUUGAUUAUUUUUUUUCUAACGUUAAUGGUUGAUUCAUAUUUAGAAACAACGGAAAUGGAACAUGUGUAUGGUACCAUUGCAAUUUUUUUAAAGAUAAUAAGAUCGUACGAAAUGAAUAAGCAAGUGAAACUGAUGUAAAAUGGAUGGACUAUAUAUAGGGAAAAAGGCUAGCAGAUUAUUGAACAUUAAACAUAGUAUUAAAAACGCAAAUCAUCCAUAUAUCAUGGUGAAGGAAUUGAACGAAUUAUUUUUUAGAGGAAAAAGAAAUUAAAGGUAAGUCAUGAUCACCAUUAAGGAAUUGAAGGUAAAUGUGUUAUGAAUUAUCUUUGACCAUGCAUAUUAUGUAAUCAAUUAAAAUCAAUGCAUUUCUUCAAAAAAAAAAAACUAAAAUCAAUGCAUAUCAUUUUGAUUCAAAACAAAAUUCCUGCAGUGAUAAUAUAUGAUUAAAUGGACAUUUCUUAACCAAAUUUCUUGCAUGUUCAAUUUUUUUUUGAAGGAAUAGUGGCAUGAUUUUUUUUUUUUGAAGUAGGGAAUAGUGACAUAAUUUUUUUAUCACAUAAAUACCCUCAAUCAAUAUAUAAAAAUGAGUUAGGAUUAAAUGACAUUAAAAUGUCAAAGUUAAUUUCAUGCCAAAUUUUAGCCAUUGAUUGAUUUUAAUCAAAUGAUGAUAUUGAUUAAGUUAAGGUGGUCACGUGAUGACCAUGUUGCCGUCAAGUCUAAGUUUUGGUCCUCUUUCUCUCAUUUGCUCCCAUCUCCAUGAGUUAGUGUGUUUUCGAUUUGACCUCCCAUCUCCUCAGUUAUAUAAAAAAAAUGAAGGUUAUAGAUUUGCUACUUGCUUAGUUUUUUAGGUACUAUGUUCAAGCAUACAUAUAUUGAUAGACGAAACAUGGAUUCCUCAAGUUCAAGGCGUGAUGUUUGGAAAAAGGCAAAAACAUUAUGUUAUACAUGACCUUGAUCAUAGCUCUAUAACAACAAAAUAUCAAUAAUCAAUAAAAUUGAUAAACAUCAUUUCCAAAAACAAAUACUACAUAAAAAUAAAUACUUCAUAUAUAUUCUAAUUGAUAUGUGAUGCAUUUCUUCUUUUCUCUUGAUAGACUUCCAAGUCCAAAAUAAGAAUCCGGUCAAAGACAAAGAACAUAUAAACACCAAUUUUGAAUGAGAAAACAACAAUAUAAGAAAUCACAAUAUUCUUCACACACACAAAAUCACAAUAAAAAGUAAUAUAAGAAUAAAAAAUGUUAAUCAAAACAGUAAAACAAUAAAAAAUAGAAAAUAAACAAAUAAAAGAAAAGAUAAUGUGGUUGAAAGUGGUU